GUAGAUACGGUGAUAUGGUACCCGCAACAAUAAUCGGCAAAGUAGUUGGAAGCGUUUGUUCGCUGAGUGGAGUACUGGUCAUAGCACUUCCCGUUCCAGUCAUUGUUUCAAAC
Helobdella robusta is the source of this 113-nucleotide regulatory RNA element. It matches the Rfam family "Potassium channel RNA editing signal". From Rfam's summary of the family: This family represents a group of sequences related to the human potassium channel Kv1.1 hairpin element which directs the efficient modification of an adenosine to inosine by an adenosine deaminase acting on RNA (ADAR). The record is from Rfam. Lineage: Eukaryota; Metazoa; Annelida; Clitellata; Rhynchobdellida; Glossiphoniidae.